GCCUCAGUAGCUCAGUAGUAGAGCGCUUGUCUCGUAAUUUAUCAAAUAAAGGUGAAAACAAGAGGCCGCGGGUGCGAUCCCCGUCUGAGGCU
Molecule: transfer RNA, 92 nt
Filed under: Candidatus Mancarchaeum acidiphilum
Lineage: Archaea; Nanobdellati; Microcaldota
Description: Candidatus Micrarchaeota archaeon Mia14 tRNA
Rfam family: tRNA
About the family: Transfer RNA (tRNA) molecules are approximately 80 nucleotides in length. Their secondary structure includes four short double-helical elements and three loops (D, anti-codon, and T loops).
Source: Rfam by way of RNAcentral